GUAGAAAACGCAGAGGCAGGAAAAGUGCUAAUAAUACACCAGAAAAUAGUCCCAACUUCCCUAACUUCAGAGUCAUUGCCACAAAGUCAAGUGAACAGUCAAGAUCUGUAAAUAUUGCUUCAAAACUUUCUCUCCAAGAGAGUGAAUCCAAAAGAAGAUGCAGAAAAAGACAAUCUCCAGAGCCAUCACCUAUGACACUGGGUCGAAGGAGUUCUGGCCGACAGGGAGGAGUUCAUGAAUUGUCUGCUUUUGAACAACUUGUUGUAGAAUUGGUACGACAUGACGACAGCUGGCCUUUUUUGAAACUUGUUUCUAAAAUCCAGGUAAUUACUAGACUUGAUAAAAUGUAUUCAUGUAUAUUAUCUGAUUUAGUCUACAUGACAACUUUGAAGUCAAAACACCUGUUACUCACUGUCUAGUUUUUUUGUUGUUGUUGUUGUUUCCUGAGACAGUCUCA
RNAcentral lists this small RNA (457 nucleotides) under Pongo abelii (Sumatran orangutan). RNAcentral describes it as "retained intron". The record is from RNAcentral. Lineage: Eukaryota; Metazoa; Chordata; Mammalia; Primates; Hominidae.